GUACGGCCGCAAGGUUAAAACUCAAAUGAAUUGACGGGGGCCCGCACAAGCGGUGGAGCAUGUGGUUUAAUUCGAUGCAACGCGAAGAACCUUACCUGGUCUUGACAUCCACAGAACUUUCCAGAGAUGGAUUGGUGCCUUCGGGAACUGUGAGACAGGUGCUGCAUGGCUGUCGUCAGCUCGUGUUGUGAAAUGUUGGGUUAAGUCCCGCAACGAGCGCAACCCUUAUCCUUUGUUGCCAGCGGUCCGGCCGGGAACUCAAAGGAGACUGCCAGUGAUAAACUGGAGGAAGGUGGGGAUGACGUCAAGUCAUCAUGGCCCUUACGACCAGGGCUACACACGUGCUACAAUGGCGCAUACAAAGAGAAGCGACCUCGCGAGAGCAAGCGGACCUCAUAAAGUGCGUCGUAGUCCGGAUUGGAGUCUGCAACUCGACUCCAUGAAGUCGGAAUCGCUAGUAAUCGUGGAUCAGAAUGCCACGGUGAAUACGUUCCCGGGCCUUGUACACACCGCCCGUCACACCAUGGGAGUGGGUUGCAAAAGAAGUAGGUAGCUUAACCUUCGGGAGGGCGCUUACCACUUUGUGAUUCAUGACUGGGGUGAAGUCGUAACAAGGUAACCGUAGGGGAACCUGCGGUUGGAUCAC
Molecule: ribosomal RNA, 646 nt
Filed under: Shigella sonnei
Lineage: Bacteria; Pseudomonadati; Pseudomonadota; Gammaproteobacteria; Enterobacterales; Enterobacteriaceae
Description: bacterial SSU rRNA
Rfam family: Bacterial small subunit ribosomal RNA
Source: RNAcentral